This 429-nucleotide ribosomal RNA is filed under the name Chloroflexota bacterium. RNAcentral describes it as "Chloroflexi bacterium partial 16S ribosomal RNA". It matches the Rfam family "Bacterial small subunit ribosomal RNA", at positions 355 to 776 of the family's 1533-position model. The record is from RNAcentral. Lineage: Bacteria; Bacillati; Chloroflexota.
UGGGGAAUAUUGCACAAUGGGCGCAAGCCUGAUGCAGCCAUGCCGCGUGUGUGAAGAAGGCCUUCGGGUUGUAAAGCACUUUCAGAGGGGAGGAAGGCGUUAAGGUUAAUAACCUUGGCGAUUGACGUUACCCGCAGAAGAAGCACCGGCUAACUCCGUGCCAGCAGCCGCGGUAAUACGGAGGGUGCAAGCGUUAAUCGGAAUUACUGGGCGUAAAGCGCACGCAGGCGGUCUGCCAAGUCGGAUGUGAAAUCCCCGGGCUCAACCUGGGAACUGCAUUCGAAACUGGGAGGCUAGAGUCUUGUAGAGGGGGGUAGAAUUCCAGGUGUAGCGGGGAAAUGCGGAGAGAUCUGGAGGAAUACCGGUGGCGAAGGCGGCCCCCUGAACAAAAACUAACACUCAAAAGCGAAAACGUGGGGAGCAAACAGG